Coregonus clupeaformis (lake whitefish) is the source of this 1166-nucleotide long non-coding RNA. RefSeq lists it as uncharacterized. Lineage: Eukaryota; Metazoa; Chordata; Actinopteri; Salmoniformes; Salmonidae. The transcript is spliced from 2 exons. The record is from RefSeq and is a predicted model, not a curated record.
AGAAAUAAGCUCAUCAACUGCGUCUGCAGCAGACGUGAGACCCUUGGUCAUGGCAUUGAAACGCCUGCUCAACAAAACUGCAGACAGACCGUAGGGUUAAAACUUGCAAAAGUAGUCUACUAGAGGCUGUGAACAAGCGAUUUGGUGGCAUUCUUUCUGAGCCUCUUUACUGUGUCGCCACCAUGCUCGAUGCUAGGUACAAGGACCGCUACAUCGAUGCAGACAAGAAACAGGGUUUACGUGAAAUGUUACAGACACAGCUGGACAAGAUGGAAACGGACACAGUGACAGUGCGCACCGAGGAAGAGGAACCACGACAGAAGAGGCUACGGACAGACAGAGCUGAAACUUCACUGCUUGACAUGUAUGAUGACAUCCUGGUUGAGAAUGGAACGACUGAAGAAAUAAACAACCAAACAGCACAGCAAAUACUAGUAUACCUGACAGAACCUACUAUUCCCAGGAAUGAAGAUGCACUUGGAUACUGGAGAAGUAACAAGCACCGUUUCCCAUCCUAGCUAAAGCUGCGUGCAAGUAUCUUGGUGCUCCCUGUACUAGUGUGGACAGUGAGCACCUUUUCAGUGCAGCUUCACACAUUGUAGACGAAAAAAUAAACAGACUCUCUUGUGACAAAGCUGAGCAGGUUCUCUUUGUGAAGAAAAACCUCCCCCAAAUGUUACAUUUGUAAAUGGGCAGUCAUAUUCUAACUCGGCCAUCUAGAGACACUGGAUUUUUUUUUCUCACUAAGCCCAAUGGCUUUUCUGUUGUUUAUUCAUGGCUGGUAUAGGUCAAUAUUUUCAUUUAAUUUAAAACAAAGCAGUUUUGUUAUUUUGUUAAUUUUUUUAAUUUCCUAAAUGAAAGAUGAGAUGUGUUGUAAGUUUGCUCGCAUUUUACUAGUCAAGUCAGUUGAGCACAUUUUAAAAGUUUAAGUUUAUGACAUAGCCUAGAGACAGUCGUUUUUUCAAACAUUUAAAGCUAAAAUGAUUAACUGCAUUUUUGUUUAAAACAAUAUUUUUUUUCAAAGCAUUUUUAAGUUUCUCCAUACAGUCAAGAUUGGAUAGUAAGAAGAGCCACCAACAACUUAACCAUCUUUGUAAUGUGGGGCAGCUAAAAUAUUUGUGCCAUGAAUAUCUGUUGUGCAAUAAAAUACAUUCAUGGAUUUGUCA